Molecule: long non-coding RNA, 2038 nt
Filed under: Homo sapiens (human)
Lineage: Eukaryota; Metazoa; Chordata; Mammalia; Primates; Hominidae
Description: HSALNT0324848
Source: RNAcentral
CGCCCUCAUGACCUUCCACGUACGAGGGUCCCGCCCGCAUGAACUUCCGCGUACGAGGGUCCCGCCCUCAUGACCUUCCGCGUACGAGGGUCCCGCCCUCAUGAACUUCCGCGUACGAGGGUUCCCGCCCUCAUGGCCUUCCGCGUACCAGGGUCCCGCCCUCAUGGCCUUCCGCGUACGAGGGUCAGGCCCUCAUGACCUUCCGCGUACGAGGGUUACGCCCUCAUGACCUUCCGCGUACGAGGGUUACGCCCUCAUGACCUUCCGCGUACGAGGGUUACGCCCUCAUGACCUUCCGCGUACGAGGGUUCUGCCCUCAUGACCUUUUCACCUUCCGGAGGUCCUGCCUCCUAGCCCCAUCACCUUGCGGGUGAGGAUUUCAACAGAUGAAUAUGGCGGUGGGGGGGUGUAAACAUUCCGAUCGCAGCAGCCACCCACGUAUCACCUUGGUCUGGGGUGUAGCAGGCAUUGCCAGGGCUCAGCCAAAGCCGGGCUCCAGCUGCUCGUGGAGAUAACAAAGGCUUCUGUGGCCUCAUCUACUUCAUUGUGACGAGGUCGAGGCUGUAAGGGGCCAAGUGGAUGAUUUAGCUCAACAGCUAAAUGAUGUUCUGGGAGAAAGGGACUGAGGCUGCCGUGGACAGUGGUCAUCUCGGGCUUCGAAGUCAAUGUGAAGUCAACGUCUAAUGGACCCGAGUUCAGCCAAGAACACACACCAGUUGUUCCAGGGAAGAAUCUCAUGGUGAAGCACUAGUGAGCGUCCAAGCAACUCCCAGCCUAACCUCACCGGUCUGACUGUGGGGCUGCUUCUGCCACGGCUCCUGGCUGGCGAUGGGGCUGUCAGCGUGUCAGCCAACCAUGCAUUGCAGAUGCACUUUGAAGAAAAUUAAUGUACCUGGGUACUUAUGGGACUCCCUGAAUGAGUGGGUAUAAUUGAAAUAGCCGGGACAUCAAAAAGCUGGAACACUGGGAGCCUGGCCCUAGGGUGGCGGAGGCCACAACGGAGCCCCCAGCCGGUUGGAAAGAGGCUUCCUAUGCUCUCCUUUCCAUGCCACUGCGGAAGUGCUAGGGAACAGGAAGACCAGGGCAUUGCCAAGUGAAUAAUAACAACCAUGUGUGCGGCGUUCACGAUACCCCAGGCUCAGUGAGCCUUUUACUCAGGGUCUCAUGUGAUGCUGAAAACAAUCCCAUGAAGUUUAGAAGCCUGUGCACACGAAGAGACGUGGUGUUUCCCUAUUGAUCCAAACUGCAUGCUGACCUGUUCCUGCCAGGGCUGCGCUCCUCCUGCUUUGCCCUGGCUCUCCCGUUCUGCACUCCCUCUUCUACCGGGAAUUCCUGGAAGCACCUUUUAUUCACAGUGCCUGCUUUGAAUAGAUACAAAUACAAUUUGUAUCUUAUGUAGUCCAUUCCACACAAUUGAAAAUAUAAUGUAAUAAAAAUCAGAAAAGUAAAUCCAGGAAAGUCUCUAACACAUAUUAGGGCCUCAAUAAAUGGACCCUAAGAGGGUGGGGAAAUGGCUUUGGUUUUUAACUGUGCUUCUUUUGAGCUUGAUGCUGUUAACUUAGUACAAUCUAUCAAUAAAUAUCGUCAUCAAGAAAAUAUUAAAGGUGUACCUGAGUCACAGGGGAGGAGGUGCAGGGCUUCUGAGAAAAUGUCCUUCAGUCACCAGCCGGUGAACAAUGGGACUCGUUAUUGUCCCCUCACCCUGCAUACCACCAGGGGGCACUGAUGAGCUGAGAAAGACUCUGUGGUCCAAAAACGGUACCAAAUGAAAAGGCCACUUCCCAGCCUCUGUAAUAAAAGGCGAAAAGCAGUCAGGGAAUUUAGUCAAGACCUUAUUCAGAUGGCGGGAGGAGAGGGGGCGGAGCAGCCAGUGUUGAAAAGGGUUUUAUCCAAACCAGUUUAAUAUCUUUAAAAAAAAUUGUUGGGCAUUUUUUUUUUUUUUUUGAGACGGAGUUUCACUCUUGUUGGCCAGGAUAGCAAUUUUUACUUCUGAUAAUUUUCUCCUCACUACUGUCAAAUCAAGUUUAGCUUAAAGCUG